AUCGAUGAUGCAAUACUAAAGAAAAAAUUUUUUUGGUUAUCUUAUAAAAUGGUAUAGUUUCAUAUUGGAUCCCUUUAGUACAUCUCAACUCAACAAGAUAAUUAAGAAGAGUCGUAGAACUAUAUGAGAUAUGGUAUGGUCCAUGAUUGACUUUACUGAUUUUUUUUUUUUUAGGGACAUACUUUAUUUCUAUAGAAUUGGGUUCUC
This 207-nucleotide long non-coding RNA is filed under the name Elaeis guineensis (African oil palm). RNAcentral's name for it is "long non-coding RNA (EGUI_LNC034384)". Lineage: Eukaryota; Viridiplantae; Streptophyta; Magnoliopsida; Arecales; Arecaceae. The record is from RNAcentral.